UAAUGGGUCAGCGACUUAUAUUCUGUAGCAAGGUUAACCGAAUAGGGGAGCCGGAGGGAAACCGAGUCUUAAUUGGGCGUUAAGUUGCAGGGUAUAGACCCGAAACCCGGUGAUCUAGCCAUGGGCAGGUUGAAGGUUGGGUAACACUAACUGGAGGACCGAACCGACUAAUGUUGAAAAAUUAGCGGAUGACCUGUGGCUGGGGGUGAAAGGCCAAUCAAACCGGGAGAUAGCUGGUUCUCCCCGAAAGCUAUUUAGGUAGCGCCUCGUGAAUUCAUCUCCGGGGGUAGAGCACUGUUUCGGCUAGGGGGCCAUCCCGGCUUACCAACCCGAUGCAAACUGCGAAUACCGGAGAAUGUUAUCACGGGAGACACACGGCGGGUGCUAACGUCCGUCGUGAAGAGGGAAACAACCCAGACCGCCAGCUAAGGUCCCAAAGUCAUGGUUAAGUGGGAAACGAUGUGGGAAGGCCCAGACAGCCAGGAUGUUGGCUUAGAAGCAGCCAUCAUUUAAAGAAAGCGUAAUAGCUCACUGGUCGAGUCGGCCUGCGCGGAAGAUGUAACGGGGCUAAACCAUGCACCGAAGCUGCGGCAGCGAACGUAUCACCCAAGACAACUUUACGGAGUUGACGAUUGACGGAGCGAAGCGACGUCAAAGCGUUCAUUAAAGUCGAGUUGGCUUAGGGAUACGUUCGUUGGGUAGGGGAGCGUUCUGUAAGCCUGUGAAGGUGUGUCGUGAGGCAUGCUGGAGGUAUCAGAAGUGCGAAUGCUGACAUAAGUAACGAUAAAGCGGGUGAAAAGCCCGCUCGCCGGAAGACCAAGGGUUCCUGUCCAACGUUAAUCGGGGCAGGGUGAGUCGACCCCUAAGGCGAGGCCGAAAGGCGUAGUCGAUGGGAAACGGGUUAAUAUUCCCGUACUUGGUGUUACUGCGAAGGGGGGACGGAGAAGGCUAUGUUGGCCGGGCGACGGUUGUCCCGGUUUAAGCGUGUAGGUGUGUGUUCCAGGUAAAUCCGGUUCACUUUAACACUGAGGCGUGACGACGAGGCACUACGGUGCUGAAGCAACAAAUGCCCUGCUUCCAGGAAAAGCCUCUAAGCAUCAGGUAACAUCAAAUCGUACCCCAAACCGACACAGGUGGUCAGGUAGAGAAUACCAAGGCGCUUGAGAGAACUCGGGUGAAGGAACUAGGCAAAAUGGUGCCGUAACUUCGGGAGAAGGCACGCUGACACGUAGGUGAAGUGAUUUACUCAUGGAGCUGAAGUCAGUCGAAGAUACCAGCUGGCUGCAACUGUUUAUUAAAAACACAGCACUGUGCAAACACGAAAGUGGACGUAUACGGUGUGACGCCUGCCCGGUGCCGGAAGGUUAAUUGAUGGGGUCAGCGCAAGCGAAGCUCCUGAUCGAAGCCCCGGUAAACGGCGGCCGUAACUAUAACGGUCCUAAGGUAGCGAAAUUCCUUGUCGGGUAAGUUCCGACCUGCACGAAUGGCGUAAUGAUGGCCAGGCUGUCUCCACCCGAGACUCAGUGAAAUUGAACUCGCUGUGAAGAUGCAGUGUACCCGCGGCAAGACGGAAAGACCCCGUGAACCUUUACUAUAGCUUGACACUGAACAUUGAGCCUUGAUGUGUAGGAUAGGUGGGAGGCUUUGAAGUGUGGACGCCAGUCUGCAUGGAGCCGACCUUGAAAUACCACCCUUUAAUGUUUGAUGUUCUAACGUGGACCCGUAAUCCGGGUUGCGGACAGUGUCUGGUGGGUAGUUUGACUGGGGCGGUCUCCUCCUAAAGAGUAACGGAGGAGCACGAAGGUUGGCUAAUCCUGGUCGGACAUCAGGAGGUUAGUGCAAUGGCAUAAGCCAGCUUGACUGCGAGCGUGACGGCGCGAGCAGGUGCGAAAGCAGGUCAUAGUGAUCCGGUGGUUCUGAAUGGAAGGGCCAUCGCUCAACGGAUAAAAGGUACUCCGGGGAUAACAGGCUGAUACCGCCCAAGAGUUCAUAUCGACGGCGGUGUUUGGCACCUCGAUGUCGGCUCAUCACAUCCUGGGGCUGAAGUAGGUCCCAAGGGUAUGGCUGUUCGCCAUUUAAAGUGGUACGCGAGCUGGGUUUAGAACGUCGUGAGACAGUUCGGUCCCUAUCUGCCGUGGGCGCUGGAGAACUGAGGGGGGCUGCUCCUAGUACGAGAGGACCGGAGUGGACGCAUCACUGGUGUUCGGGUUGUCAUGCCAAUGGCACUGCCCGGUAGCUAAAUGCGGAAGAGAUAAGUGCUGAAAGCAUCUAAGCACGAAACUUGCCCCGAGAUGAGUUCUCCCUGAGACUUAGAGUCUCCUGAAGGAACGUUGAAGACGACGACGUUGAUAGGCCGGGUGUGUAAGCGCAGCGAUGCGUUGAGCUAACCGGUACUAAUGAACCGUGAGGCUUAACCUUACA
Molecule: ribosomal RNA, 2421 nt
Filed under: Salmonella enterica subsp. enterica serovar Typhimurium
Lineage: Bacteria; Pseudomonadati; Pseudomonadota; Gammaproteobacteria; Enterobacterales; Enterobacteriaceae
Description: partial 23S ribosomal RNA
Rfam family: Bacterial large subunit ribosomal RNA
Source: RNAcentral